GUUUGUUGCCUGUGCUGAGAAGGUGGAGUCAGUGCUGUGAGGAGCUGCUCAUGAGAAACCACUGAGAAGCCACUCAACCUUUGGGAGGUGGAAACUCGUGAUUUCCUACAGCUAUUUCUCUGAAUAAAGCCACUCCACUUUCAACUGUUUCGUGCUUGUUUUGCAGGAGUAUGCAGCAGAUGCUCAAAGGCAGAUUUUCAAGAUGAGCAAGUAAAGCUUUGCUGUAACUCAUUAUACAGUUCUCUGACCCUGGAAUGCACUGCAGCACAAUGUGAUGUGUCUUCAUCCUGAAGGUGUGAAGAACCCCUUAAUCAAUCAGACUUCAGUACACAGAAACAUGAGAAACUGCAACCUAUUCGGUUUGGUUAGACAAUUUGUCACAUAUCUAAAUACCUUUCACAGUCUUUAUGGCAGAAGUGGCAGCAUCACAUCUCAAGCAUCAGCUGAACAUGGAAUUCAAGUGCAUUCUUGAAGGACCAGUGCAUGUUCAGAAAAAAUAAAGAAUGACUAUGAACAUUCAGAUGUUUGCUUUUUAAUUUGCAGUGGUUGUUUAUAUGCACAUCAGGGAGCUAGAAAUUGUAAGGUAUGGGCGUUCAGAAUGAAACUUUU
Molecule: long non-coding RNA, 609 nt
Organism: Passer montanus (Eurasian tree sparrow)
Lineage: Eukaryota; Metazoa; Chordata; Aves; Passeriformes; Passeridae
Exons: 4
Source: RefSeq, a predicted model, not a curated record